AUUGAACGCUGGCGGCAUGCUUUACACAUGCAAGUCGAACGGUAACAGGUUAAGCUGACGAGUGGCGAACGGGUGAGUAAUGCAUCGGAACGUGCCCGAUCGUGGGGGAUAACGCAGCGAAAGCUGCGCUAAUACCGCAUACGAUCUGAGGAUGAAAGCGGGGGACCGUAAGGCCUCGCGCGAUCGGAGCGGCCGAUGUCAGAUUAGGUAGUUGGUGGGGUAAAGGCUCACCAAGCCGACGAUCUGUAGCUGGUCUGAGAGGACGACCAGCCACACUGGGACUGAGACACGGCCCAGACUCCUACGGGAGGCAGCAGUGGGGAAUUUUGGACAAUGGGCGCAAGCCUGAUCCAGCAAUGCCGCGUGCAGGAAGAAGGCCUUCGGGUUGUAAACUGCUUUUGUACGGAACGAAAAGGCGCCUACUAAUACUGGGUGUUGAUGACGGUACCGUAAGAAUAAGCACCGGCUAACUACGUGCCAGCAGCCGCCGUAA
Molecule: ribosomal RNA, 493 nt
Filed under: uncultured bacterium
Lineage: Bacteria
Description: partial 16S ribosomal RNA
Rfam family: Bacterial small subunit ribosomal RNA
Source: RNAcentral